RNAcentral lists this ribosomal RNA (405 nucleotides) under Triticum aestivum (bread wheat). RNAcentral's name for it is "partial small subunit ribosomal RNA". Lineage: Eukaryota; Viridiplantae; Streptophyta; Magnoliopsida; Poales; Poaceae. The record is from RNAcentral.
AUGUUGUUCUUCACACCAUUGCACUCGGAUCUCCAGGUCAUCUCUAGUAUUCUACAUAUAUUUGGUGAGGCCAUGGGCCUGAAGAUCAAUUUACAGAAGAGUACAGUCACAACCAUUCGAUGCGACGAGGCCACGGCAGCGGCAGUGGAGGGACACUUCCAAUGCAGGAGACAACAGUUCCCCAUCCUUUACCUGGGUCUCCCUCUGUCCAUUUCCAGGUUGCAGCGGCAGGAUCUUCUUCCUCUCAUAGACAAAUUCUCAGGAAAACUGAAAAGUUGGAAACCAAGGAUGCUUGCUACUGUGGGCCGUCUGACUCUCACCCGAUCGGUGCUCAUGGCCCUGCCGAUCCACCUUAUGUCCAUCUUACCUUUGCCGGCGUGGGCCAUCAAGAUUAUAAACAGAUGA